RNAcentral lists this ribosomal RNA (497 nucleotides) under uncultured bacterium. RNAcentral describes it as "partial 16S ribosomal RNA". It matches the Rfam family "Bacterial small subunit ribosomal RNA", at positions 28 to 507 of the family's 1533-position model. The record is from RNAcentral.
GAUGAACGCUGGCGGCGUGCCUAAUACAUGCAAGUCGAGCGAAAGGACGCGAAGCUUGUUUCGCUGAUGUUAGGGGCGGAGGGGUGAGUAACACGUGGAUAACCUACCUAUAAGACUGGGAAAACUUCGGGAAACCGGAGCUAAUCCGGGAUAAUAUUUUGAACCGCAGGGUUCAAAAGUGAAAGACGGUCUUGCUGUCACUUAUAGAUGGAUACGCGCUGCAUUAGCUAGUUGGUAAGGUAACGGCUUACCAAGGCAACGAUGCAUAGCCGACCUGAGAGGGUGAUCGGCCACACUGGAACUGAGACACGGUCCAGACUCCUACGGGAGGCAGCAGUAGGGAAUCUUCCGCAAUGGGCGAAAGCCUGACGGAGCAACGCCGCGUGAGUGAUGAAGGUCUUCGGACCGUAAAACUCUGUUAUUAGGGAAGAACAUAUGUGUAAGUAACUGUGCACAUCUUGACGGUACCUAAUCAGAAAGCCACGGCUAACUACGUG